GACGAACGCUGGCGGCGUGCCUAACACAUGCAAGUCGAGCGGAGUCGAUCGACGGAAGCCUUCGGGCGGAAGAUGGUUGACUUAGCGGCGGAUGGGUGAGUAACGCGUGGGCAACCUGCCUCGAAGACCGGGAUAACAGCCCGAAAGGGCUGCUAAUACCGGAUGUGGUCAAGGAUCCGCAUGGAUUUUUGAUUAAAGGGGAAACCCGUUUCGAGAUGGGCCCGCGUCCUAUCAGCUAGUUGGUGAGGUAAAAGCUCACCAAGGCGACGACGGGUAGCCGGCCUGAGAGGGUGACCGGCCACACUGGAACUGAGACACGGUCCAGACUCCUACGGGGGGCAGCAGUGGGGAAUCUUCCACAAUGGGCGAAAGCCUGAUGGAGCGACGCCGCGUGAGCGAAGAAGGCCUCGGUUGUAAGCUCUGUCUGGAGGGACGAAGGAAGUGACGGUACCUCCGGAGGAAGCCACGGCUAACUACGUG
RNAcentral lists this ribosomal RNA (480 nucleotides) under uncultured bacterium. RNAcentral describes it as "bacterial SSU rRNA". It matches the Rfam family "Bacterial small subunit ribosomal RNA", at positions 28 to 507 of the family's 1533-position model. The record is from RNAcentral.